RNAcentral lists this ribosomal RNA (324 nucleotides) under uncultured eukaryote. Its description in RNAcentral is "partial 18S ribosomal RNA". It matches the Rfam family "Eukaryotic small subunit ribosomal RNA", at positions 1470 to 1796 of the family's 1831-position model. The record is from RNAcentral.
CCCUUAGAUGUCCUGGGCUGCACGCGCGCUACACUGAUGUGUUCAAUAAGCACCUAACCUACUCCGAAGGGACUGGGUAACCUUUGCAAAGCACAUCGUGAUGGGGAUAGAUUAUUGCAAUUAUUAGUCUUGAACGAGGAAUUCCUAGUAAGCGCAAGUCAUCAGCUUGUGUUGAUUACGUCCCUGCCCUUUGUACACACCGCCCGUCGCUCCUACCGAUGGGGUGAUCCGGUGAAUGAUUCGGACUUUGACACUUCUAGCUACUAGUUGUGUCGGGGGAAGUUUUGUGAACCUUAUCACUUGGAGGAAGGAGAANUCGUANCA